This 29-nucleotide non-coding RNA is filed under the name Mus musculus (house mouse). The record is from RNAcentral. Lineage: Eukaryota; Metazoa; Chordata; Mammalia; Rodentia; Muridae.
UGUCAUGAGAUAUGAUGGCCCCCGCUAGA